Molecule: long non-coding RNA, 580 nt
Filed under: Ananas comosus (pineapple)
Lineage: Eukaryota; Viridiplantae; Streptophyta; Magnoliopsida; Poales; Bromeliaceae
Description: long non-coding RNA (ACOM_LNC032597)
Source: RNAcentral
CACCACAGCCAUUAUUUAUUAGGGAUAAUCGCCUAUAUAUCCCUCAAAACUUCAAAAAUAUCUUAUUUAAUACUCUUAAUUUUUUUUCCUUUCAAUAUAUCCCUCAUAUGUUACUCAAUUAUUCUAAAAUACCGUACAGUUACAAUUCGUUAAGUUAACUUAGGUUAAACGUGAGCUAAAUAUCUACCAUAGUUAAAAAAAAAAAUAAAAUGCCACUUUUGCCCUUAACUUAAGAGCAAAUAAGAAAUGUUGGUGAUGGUAGAAGAGAAUAUUUGAAAAGAUGAAAAAGCAAAAUAUUUUUUUUGCCCCUAACUUAAGAGCAAAUAAGAAAAGUCGGUGAUGAUAGAAGGUAUGUUUGAAAGGGCAAAAAAGUAAUUUUAUAGAAAUAACAUAGUUCAUUAAUAGAUUUUAACUCUAGAGGUAUAUUUGAAAUAUGUUGGAACGUAAAAAGGAUAUUUUCCACAUUACCCUUCUAAGAGGGGUAAAUCAGAAAGUCGGAAACUUUUCUAUAAACAAUUGCCAUUAUCUAUUACUAUAUACUAAAGAUCGUGAAGGAUUCUUUAUUUGUGAACAUAUGUCC